RNAcentral lists this ribosomal RNA (774 nucleotides) under uncultured Neocallimastigales. Its description in RNAcentral is "partial large subunit ribosomal RNA". It matches the Rfam family "Eukaryotic large subunit ribosomal RNA", at positions 23 to 634 of the family's 3401-position model. The record is from RNAcentral. Lineage: Eukaryota; Fungi; Neocallimastigomycota; Neocallimastigomycetes; Neocallimastigales.
AGAGAGAGACAUGCGCGCAUAUCAAUAAGCGGAGGAAAAGAAACUAACAAGGAUUCCCUUAGUAACGGCGAGUGAAGCGGGAAGAGCUCAAAUUUGAAAUCUUCAAGGUUUUACCUUGACGAAUUGUAGUUUAAAGAAGUGUUUUUCUGCUGAAGUUUUGGUAAAGUUCUUUGGAAUAGGACAUCAUAGAGGGUGAGAAUCCCGUAUUUGACCAUUAUUUUCAGCUUUGUGAUACACUUUCAAAGAGUCGGAUUGUUUGGGAAUGCAGUCCAAAAUGGGUGGUAAAUUUCAUCUAAAGCUAAAUAUUGGCGAGAGACCGAUAGCGAACAAGUACCGUGAGGGAAAGAUGAAAAGAACUUUGAAAAGAGAGUUAAACAGUACGUGAAAUUGUCAAAAGGGAAGCGUUUGACACCAGUGUUGUUUUCUCGAAAAUCAAUUAAAAAUGGCUCGAUUUUGUAUUGUUGAGACCUUAAAAGCUCACUGUACAUUUUUCGUGUCUUUUUUAAUGCACUUUUCGUUUAACGAGUCAACAUCAGUUUCUUUUGUUGUAAAAGGGUCAUUGGAAGGUGGCUUUCUUUUCGGAGAAAGUGUUUAUAGCCUUUGGCCUCUGCAAUCGGAAGAGACUGAGGUCUGCAGCGUAGACUCUUCGGGGUUAGAUACAUUUGUGCUAAGUUAUAGCUUUUUAUAGACAACUUGUUGACUAUAAUUAGUCUUGUAGCUUACUCGCUUAUGCUAUUUUACCUACGCUAGGAUGUUGAAGAUGUAGCACAUCAU